RNAcentral lists this ribosomal RNA (464 nucleotides) under Hanseniaspora uvarum. RNAcentral describes it as "partial large subunit ribosomal RNA". It matches the Rfam family "Eukaryotic large subunit ribosomal RNA", at positions 71 to 536 of the family's 3401-position model. The record is from RNAcentral. Lineage: Eukaryota; Fungi; Ascomycota; Saccharomycetes; Saccharomycodales; Saccharomycodaceae.
GGGGUUACCUUAGUACGGCGAGUGAGCGGUAAAAGCUCAAAUUUGAAAUCUGGUACUUUCAGUGCCCGAGUUGUAAUUUGUAGAAUUUGUCUUUGAUUAGGUCCUUGUCUAUGUUCCUUGGAACAGGACGUCAUAGAGGGUGAGAAUCCCGUUUGGCGAGGAUACCUUUUCUCUGUAAGACUUUUUCGAAGAGUCGAGUUGUUUGGGAAUGCAGCUCAAAGUGGGUGGUAAAUUCCAUCUAAAGCUAAAUAUUGGCGAGAGACCGAUAGCGAACAAGUACAGUGAUGGAAAGAUGAAAAGAACUUUGAAAAGAGAGUGAAAAAGUACGUGAAAUUGUUGAAAGGGAAGGGCAUUUGAUCAGACAUGGUGUUUUUUGCAUGCACUCGCCUCUCGUGGGCUUGGGCCUCUCAAAAAUUUCACUGGGCCAACAUCAAUUCUGGCAGCAGGAUAAAUCAUUAAGAAUG